RNAcentral lists this ribosomal RNA (480 nucleotides) under uncultured soil bacterium. RNAcentral describes it as "bacterial SSU rRNA". It matches the Rfam family "Bacterial small subunit ribosomal RNA", at positions 26 to 518 of the family's 1533-position model. The record is from RNAcentral.
AGGACGAACGCUGGCGGCGUGCCUAAUACAUGCAAGUCGAACGAGACUUUCAUCGGUGGUAACACCUUUGUCUGUCUAGUGGCGAACGGGUGAGUAACACGUGAGAAACCUGCCCUGAAGACGGGGAUAACAGAAGGAAACUUCUGCUAAUACCCGAUACCCCCAUCGGAUCACAUGGUCUGAUGAGGAAAUGGAUUCCGCUUCAGGAGGGUCUCGCGGCCUAUCAGCUUGUUGGUGGGUAAUGGCCACAAGGCUUGGACGGGUAGCUGGUCUGAGAGGACGAUCAGCCACACUGGGACUGAGACACGGCACAGACUCCUACGGGAGCAGCAGUAAGGAAUAUUGCGCAAUGGGCAAAGCCUGACGCAGCAACGCCGCGUGCGGGAUGAAGGCCCUCGGUUGUAAACCGCUUUCAGUAGGAAGAAAAUGAACGGUACCUAACAGAAGAACGCCCCGGCCAACUACGUGACCAGCAGCCGC